Long non-coding RNA from Centruroides sculpturatus (bark scorpion), 423 nucleotides. RefSeq lists it as uncharacterized. NCBI's taxonomy places the organism in Eukaryota, Metazoa, Arthropoda, Arachnida, Scorpiones, Buthidae. The transcript has 3 exons. The record is from RefSeq and is a predicted model, not a curated record.
UAAUGGACGAUAAGCAGUAAGGCAAUAAAUAAAUGAUAAAAUUUGGUAUGUCAACCGAACAUUAAAAAGACUUAUGAAGAAUUUAAUAUGAAGUCCAUCGUUCUGCCAAAAAAAAAAUUAAUUAGAAAUCGUUAGGUAUGAAAUAAAGAUCCAGAAUAAUUUUUAAAAUGCAUCUAUACUAAAACGAAAUUAUAUUAAACGGAAUUAUUCCAGAGAAUAGAGAAAUGGUUCUCUUCAAAAAUGAGUUUAUUUCUUUUUACGGUGUUUUAAUUAUCUGCGUUACACAUGUUUAAUGUUUAUUUUAAAUGCAAAUCGUGAUAGAUGAGACGGAUAUAUCUAUUAUCUAAAUCUAUUCAUUAUUAUUCUAUCCAUUAUCUAUUCAUUAUUAUGAAGUAAAUACGGAAGCAACAUAAUCAAGAAACG